Molecule: ribosomal RNA, 507 nt
Filed under: uncultured bacterium
Lineage: Bacteria
Description: bacterial SSU rRNA
Rfam family: Bacterial small subunit ribosomal RNA
Source: RNAcentral
GAUGAACGCUAGCGGCAGGCCUAACACAUGCAAGUCGAGGGGCAUCAUGGCGUAGCAAUACGCUGAUGGCGACCGGCGCACGGGUGCGUAACGCGUAUGGAACCUACCCACCGCAGGGGGAUAACCCGCCGAAAGGCGGACUAAUACCCCAUGGUUCCCCGACCCUGCCUGGGGUUGGGGGUAAAGCCUACGGGCGGCGGUGGAUGGCCCUGCGUGCCAUUAGCUGGCUGGUGGGGUAACGGCCCACCAGGGCGACGAUGGCUAGGGGGUCUGAGAGGACGAUCCCCCACACUGGUACUGAGACACGGACCAGACUCCUACGGGAGGCAGCAGUAAGGAAUAUUGGUCAAUGGGCGCAAGCCUGAACCAGCCAUGCCGCGUGCAGGAAGACGGCCCUAUGGGUUGUAAACUGCUUUUGUCAGGGAAUAAACCUAUCUACGUGUAGAUAGCUGAAGGUACCUGAAGAAUAAGCAUCGGCUAACUCCGUGCCAGCAGCCGCGGUAAACU